RNAcentral lists this long non-coding RNA (2278 nucleotides) under Rhinolophus ferrumequinum (greater horseshoe bat). RNAcentral describes it as "lncRNA (ENSRFEG00010008072.1)". Lineage: Eukaryota; Metazoa; Chordata; Mammalia; Chiroptera; Rhinolophidae. The record is from RNAcentral.
AAAUGAAAUAGGCCUUUAUUGAAACCGUCUAUCCUGGGAGGCAGUUUGGCUGUGGAAGAAUAGACUUUUGGUUUCAGAUAUACUUCAGCUCAAAUGGACUUUGGCGUUCUGCAGGCAAGCACUGGCUCAUCUGAACCUUCAAGAUCUCAAAGGGAGGACCUGAGAUGUAUGUAAGCAGAAGCCGCCGACCAACUUGGUGCCUGGGAUUGCCUCGCUCGUGGAUGUAGAACCUGGAACCGCGGGAGGGUGAGCGCUAAUGAGAGUCCUUUGGGGAUGCCGUGGGGUUGCCACGGGGCUGGGGUGCUGGCGAAAGAGGAGCUGUUUGCACGUUGUAGAGCCACCGGGGAAAGGACUGGAGGAGCGAGGCCGUGUUCCAGGGCACAGCACAGAGCGUUUGCGGAAGGAUUGACAGGCGGAGUAGACCUAACCAGUGUGCUCCGAGCACAUCUGGGCAUAGUUAAUUUGGGAAAUACUUCAUCUUUCAGAUGCUUUCCCUUAGAUUUACAUCAUCUGGAGCUCUGGAGCCGAGCUGCUGCCCUGGGCGGGUGCACGGAGGACAGAACCCUCAGUUACAGCUGGGUAACCCCGGACCUGAAUGGAGGGGGCCUGAACAACCAGAGGUGGACGUUUUCUGCGAAUGAUGGAAAUCUUGCUUUCCUAUUGGGAAUCCAGGUGGAUUGCUACCUUGAAGUUACUGCACUGAACAGUGGCUUAAACAAAGCAGGGGUUUUGUUCUCUAGUAACAAGGAGGUUGGGGUAGGUGAUUGCUGUGUUGGUUCAGCAGCUCACAGAUGUCAGGGUCAGGGUGGCCUCUCGGGUGCCCUUGCCUUUCCCUCAGGUGGCUGCAGUUCCCCUAAAGAAGCUGGAGAAGGCCAAAGGUCAUGCCAGUUCGAAUUGCUCCCUUUUAGAGAGUUUUCUCAGCCGCCCAACAACUGCCAGACUGUGUCACUGGCUACUGCUAUCCACAGAGUGGCCUGAGAAAUAUAGUCUUGGUAGCUGGGCAUAUAACUGCCUUCAACAAAAAUCUGAGUUCUCGUCAUGAGGUAGAUGAUGAUAGAUCUGGAGUGAACAACUAGCCUGUGUCCUGGCUACAAAGUACAGCUGUAAAGGCGCACAGCUUCGGGGCAGAUCAGCACUCUAGCACCUUCACAGGUGGCCGCCCGCCCAGCACCGCUGCUCUGCUCGCAGAGAGCGAGCGCAGAGUGAAGACGGGCUAGGCUUUCUUGCCAGCACUUGCCAAGACUGAGCUGGACUCUCAGCCAAUACACUUGCCCACAUCAGGAUUUUCCAGAGGAGGACCCUGGGAACGUGCACACUCCCUUGGUGGACAUACUCUCUUUAUGGAGGUUCGGAAUGGCAUGAAGAAUAUUCCUACCUUGCUGCUUCCUCAUCGGCUUCAUGUUUCUCUUCUCCAAUUUUCCUGACAGAUUUUUGGAGGAGUCUUGUUUGUGUAUGUGAUCUCCAUACAAGGAUCAUCCCUUUCAUGCCCAGAGGAGGGUCUAUGUAAAGAAAGCUGCUUUACCCCUUUUUGUGACUCCACUACCAAUCUAGGAAUCUCCUGGGUGAAAAACUGCUUCUCAAAACUGCUUCUAUAAGCAGCCCACACCCUGGCUAAGCAAAGGGAGAGGAAACACUUCCCACGUCCAGGGCUGUUCAAAAGAACUUUCUGUGAUGACAGAAAUGUUCUGUCUGCACUGUCCAAGAGGGCAGCCCCUAGCCCCAGUGAACACUUGAAAUGUGGCUAGUGUGACAUUUACAUAAAAAGUACAUUGUAAGUAAUGUAAAUGCAAGUGGCCACGUGUGGCUGGUGGCUGUGGUGUGGCACAGCGGGGCACACACGGCAUCUUGCACUUUAGAGCCAGCUGGGAGGGGUUUGAGCCAGCCCUGCGCCAGGCGUUCCGUGGUCUUCACUAUUCCGCCUUGCCGUUGAACUUGUCUUCUGGAGAAAAAGGAAAAAAUGGAACUAAAUUCAAGAUGUUCACUUGACAUCUCCUCAUUGCACGCAUAAUGGAGAGGGGUCUCCUGGGAAUCGGUCCUGUGAUUGAUUUUAGCGAUUAUUGAUAAUGGGAAAAUGGCGGAGCUGAUCCACGUAGCAAUUCCUAGGGAACAUUGUGUGUUCCUGGUCAGAUAAGUCAGCGGAGAUUAUUUUGUUCUAUUGUGCAAUUCAUUGUGUUACUUUAUUUUUGUUGUAUUAUGGCUGCUAAAUGAUGAUUUCGUGUAUGUUUUUCAAAAUACUUAGUGGUUUAUAUUUUUUUAAAGGCUGUGAAAUAAAAAAUAA